This 230-nucleotide long non-coding RNA is filed under the name Lathyrus oleraceus (garden pea). RNAcentral describes it as "Pisum sativum (pea) long non-coding RNA (PSAT_LNC033221)". Lineage: Eukaryota; Viridiplantae; Streptophyta; Magnoliopsida; Fabales; Fabaceae. The record is from RNAcentral.
GGGUGUAGGUUCUGUCCGAAUUUGGGCUUGGAACAUGUUUCAAAUAUCAACUUAAAUGAAUUCCAAUUGGCCAAAGUGAGUAAAAGUCACUAAUUCAAAAAGUCAACCUUUGGUCCACUUGAAUUUUAAAUGGAACAAGUCAAAAAAUGCCAUUUUGAUUGGCAAGGUUUUGGUACAUGAUAUUUAUAUUUUUGGAAAGAGGAGAUGAAAUGUGGUUUGUAGGAAAAAAC